RNAcentral lists this ribosomal RNA (484 nucleotides) under uncultured bacterium. RNAcentral describes it as "partial 16S ribosomal RNA". It matches the Rfam family "Bacterial small subunit ribosomal RNA", at positions 30 to 507 of the family's 1533-position model. The record is from RNAcentral.
AUUGAACGCUGGCGGCAGGCCUAACACAUGCAAGUGGAGCGGAUGAAGGGAGCUUGCUCCUGGAUUCAGCGGCGGACGGGUGAGUAAUGCCUAGGAAUCUGCCUGGUAGUGGGGGAUAACGUCCGGAAACGGGCGCUAAUACCGCAUACGUCCUGAGGGAGAAAGUGGGGGAUCUUCGGACCUCACGCUAUCAGAUGAGCCUAGGUCGGAUUAGCUAGUUGGUGGGGUAAAGGCCUACCAAGGCGACGAUCCGUAACUGGUCUGAGAGGAUGAUCAGCCACACUGGAACUGAGACACGGUCCAGACUCCUACGGGAGGCAGCAGUGGGGAAUAUUGGACAAUGGGCGAAAGCCUGAUCCAGCCAUGCCGCGUGUGUGAAGAAGGUCUUCGGAUUGUAAAGCACUUUAAGUUGGGAGGAAGGGCAGUAAGUUAAUACCUUGCUGUUUUGACGUUACCAACAGAAUAAGCACCGGCUAACUUCGUG